AAAUGCUUCGCUGGGUUAAUAGCCUAAUUAGGAUGAUUUUCCAACAAGUUGGAGUAAGCAUGCAAUUGGUAUUUUGGCCUGGGAAGCCAUAUGGUUUGUCUCUAAGUAUCAUGAAGAAAAUUGUUACUAUUAAUAAUUUAUCCGUGAUCUGGUGUCCAAGCUUACCUGCCAUGCAACAGAAUCGUGUCCCAACCACCCAGGAGAGGAUGCAGUGUUGUCUUUUGUGGCUGUCGAAUGGGUAGCCAAAGGAGAGUGUUCAACAAGACUAAGAACAGAGACCAGGCCAAGGCCAUCCUUUCAAGAUGACCUUUUCUUUGAGAAGGCCCCAAGCAGACAGAUUUCCUUACCAGACUUGUCUCAAGAGGAGCCUCAGCUGAAGACUCCAGCUUGGUAAAUGAGGAAGCACUGCAGAAGAUUUGUGCUCUUGAAAAUGAACUUGCUGCUCUCAGAGCUCAGAUAACCAAAAUUGUGACUCAGCAAUAGCAGGAAAAUCUAAUUUCAAGUGACUUAGAUUUUACCACAUCUGUUACCACACCACCAUCCCCUCCACCUCUCCACCAGUCUUGCCCGCCCUCUCCACUGGGACUCCACCAAAGUAUAUUUGAUAUUGAUCUGAUUAGAGAGUGAGGAGGGAGAAAAGCCAAUUCUGGAAAGACGUUGGUUAAGAACAAUCCAAAAAAAGCUGACAUGCCAAAAAUGCUAGAGACUCUUAAAGACAUGAUCAGUGUAAAACUUUAGUCAGUAAAAACCUCAGAGCAAGAUGUACAGCCCAAGCCAGUGGAUGCUGCUGGACUUGCUCCCCUCAUAGCAGAGGCUCUGAAAAAGAAAAAUUUGCUUAUCGGAAUCAAAGUAGUAUACCAAUAGGCUUAUUGGUAUACCCAGGAUGAAGUUGAAAAAGGAGUUCCAAAGUCUGAAUCAGAGGCCACCUCAGAUACAGAGUUGUCUGCACUACACAUGUUGAAGUCAACAGGAAAAAUGAAGGCUUUAAUGGAAAAUAUAACAAACUCCUAA
RNAcentral lists this long non-coding RNA (1011 nucleotides) under Homo sapiens (human). RNAcentral's name for it is "non-protein coding lnc-EDA2R-1:1". The record is from RNAcentral. Lineage: Eukaryota; Metazoa; Chordata; Mammalia; Primates; Hominidae.